UACGAAGGGGGCUAGCGUUGUUCGGAAUUACUGGGCGUAAAGCGCGCGUAGGCGGUUUUGCAAGCCAGAGGUGAAAUGCCUGAGCUCAACUUAGGAAUUGCCUUUGGGACUGCGAGGCUUUGAGGACUGGAGAGGUGAGUGGAAUUCCGAGUGUAGAGGUGAAAUUCGUAGAUAUUCGGAAGAACACCAGUGGCGAAGGCGACUUACUGGACGAUUGUUGACGCUGAGGUGCGAAAGCGUGGGGAGCAAACAGG
RNAcentral lists this ribosomal RNA (254 nucleotides) under uncultured bacterium. Its description in RNAcentral is "partial 16S ribosomal RNA". It matches the Rfam family "Bacterial small subunit ribosomal RNA", at positions 524 to 776 of the family's 1533-position model. The record is from RNAcentral.